This is a long non-coding RNA of Lepisosteus oculatus (spotted gar), 376 nucleotides long. RefSeq lists it as uncharacterized. Lineage: Eukaryota; Metazoa; Chordata; Actinopteri; Semionotiformes; Lepisosteidae. The record is from RefSeq and is a predicted model, not a curated record.
UUGCAAUGCAAAAUGCAAAUGAAAGACACACAAGGCUGCUGUUGUUGAUGAGAUAUAUAUAUAUAUUCUACCAAAACUUCUGUAAAUUUGUCAUGCCCGUAGACACUGAAUCGAACUGCAUGAUCGACCCUUUCUCUUGCCCGUCUGUUUGCUGCACGAAGCCCACCAUCCAGUUCCUCCAGUCUGAUGUGACGCCGUUGUUGUUUGUUGCAUCCCAAGUGUCUAGCUACAGCUUUCCCAGGUUUUGCAUCUGAGAAGCUCCUGGACUGUGAUGACUUAUCAUCUGAUGUGCAGAAACAGCCACGAAUCUCACGGAGGUCUUCGAUUCUGGGGUUUGUGCACCGUGAGAAAGGGAAGAACGCAUCGCCUUCAUCCU